Benincasa hispida (wax gourd) is the source of this 1027-nucleotide non-coding RNA. The record is from RefSeq and is a predicted model, not a curated record. NCBI's taxonomy places the organism in Eukaryota, Viridiplantae, Streptophyta, Magnoliopsida, Cucurbitales, Cucurbitaceae.
GGAGCACAGAAGAAGUCAUGUAAGCCACGGAGAAAACCUUCUCGACGUGUUUGGUUGGAUACAGGUAGCCAAAGUAAUCAACUGCAGUGAUUGAAGCAUUCCAAGGUAGCAAAUUGCCAACACCAAGCAAGAAAUGGAUUAGAUGUGAUUGAUGGGUUGAACUUGGAACCAAUAUGACUCAUGAAAGUAAGCUUCGUGGGGACAGGAAAUGGAUGGGCAAUAUUAAGGCUUGGUGCCCUUUAUUCUACUGCUACACAUGGGGGGCAGCAUUCUUCAAGCUCAACUCUGAAAUUCUCAAACCAAAUUGGUUCAUUCCCAUCUCUCAACUUCAAUUUCAUUUCAUAAUUUUAUGUUUUAAAUUUUAAAAUGGUUCAUUAAGUUACUAUUUUCUGUGCUUUGAAAGAUCUAAAUGCUACAGAUUAUUCACUACUGAUCUAAGACAGCCAAAACUUGUUAUAGUAAAAACUGAUAUGAAUUGUAAGGUCAUUUCAGCGUGGCCAAGAUGUCACAUUUAGCUGAUAAGCCAUCCGCAUGGGAGAACUUGAUUCUUUAUUUUUCCAGUCAGGGAAUUUUCAUAUUGGAGAAGAUUAAUUACCCCCAUCCAUUCUUUUUUUUCUUCUUCCUGUCAUUUCGUACUAUCUUCACUUGGCUUUUUUAUUCCUCUCUCUCUUUUUUCCUUUUUACCUUGAUCAAUCUUUACAGAACUAUAGACUGAUAUUCUUCAGUAGAAAAUUCCUCCAUAUCAUGGUCUGAAUUCGUAUCGCACACCAUGAGUUGUAGAUUCAAUGAACGAAUAACAAGUGGCUUCGAUUACACACUUAGCCCAACAAACGUGAGGAUAGAAUUUUGAACUUCCAACUUCAAGAAGAGUAAAUAUCUUAAUGGUGAGCUGUGUUCAUGAUUUGAUUUUGUCUUGCUCAAAUAGUCCAUGUUUAUAUUUGUUAAUACAGACCAAUUGUGUUAACAUAUAUAACAGCACCAUUGUAAAACAACAUUGAUUCAAUAGAAACCAAAGGAAAUUAGAAUC